Molecule: ribosomal RNA, 476 nt
Filed under: uncultured organism
Description: partial 16S ribosomal RNA
Rfam family: Bacterial small subunit ribosomal RNA
Source: RNAcentral
ACACUCCUACGGGGAGGCAGCAGUGGGGAAUAUUGCACAAUGGGCGCAAGCCUGAUGCAGCCAUGCCGCGUGUAUGAAGAAGGCCUUCGGGUUGUAAAGUACUUUCAGCGGGGAGGAAGGCAAUACGGUUAAUAACCGUGUUGAUUGACGUUACCCGCAGAAGAAGCACCGGCUAACUCCGUGCCAGCAGCCGCGGUAAUACGGAGGGUGCAAGCGUUAAUCGGAAUUACUGGGCGUAAAGCGCACGCAGGCGGUCUGUCAAGUCGGAUGUGAAAUCCCCGGGCUCAACCUGGGAACUGCAUUCGAAACUGGCAGGCUUGAGUCUUGUAGAGGGGGGUAGAAUUCCAGGUGUAGCGGUGAAAUGCGUAGAGAUCUGGAGGAAUACCGGUGGCGAAGGCGGCCCCCUGGACAAAGACUGACGCUCAGGUGCGAAAGCGUGGGGAGCAAACAGGAUUAGAAACCCUUGUAGUCCCAUG